This 107-nucleotide small RNA is filed under the name Flavobacterium sp. RNAcentral's name for it is "6S RNA". It matches the Rfam family "6S-Flavo RNA". Lineage: Bacteria; Pseudomonadati; Bacteroidota; Flavobacteriia; Flavobacteriales; Flavobacteriaceae. The record is from RNAcentral. RNAcentral also lists the same sequence under 1 other name.
ACUCAACACUAACAAAUUAAAAUGGGUGAAUCAUCGCUACUAAAGCAAGCUGCCUUUGAGCAGAUCCUUGAACAGCGGGUUAGCCCAAAACUUGUCUUUACGAGUUU